RNAcentral lists this ribosomal RNA (305 nucleotides) under uncultured bacterium. RNAcentral describes it as "bacterial SSU rRNA". It matches the Rfam family "Bacterial small subunit ribosomal RNA", at positions 335 to 638 of the family's 1533-position model. The record is from RNAcentral.
AUACCUACGGGACGCAGCAGUGAGGAAUAUUGGUCAAUGGCCGCAGGGCUGAACCAGCCAAGCCGCGUGAAGGACGAAGGUGCCAAGCAUUGAAAACUUCUUUUGUCAAGGGACAAAAUCAGGCUCGAGAGCCUGACCGAGGGUACUUGAAGAAAAAGCAUCGGCUAACUCCGUGCCAGCAGCCGCGGUAAUACGGAGGAUGCGAGCGUUAUCCGGAUUUAUUGGGUUUAAAGGGUGCGUAGGCGGGCUGUUAAGUCAGCGGUAAAAGCCCGGGGCUCAACCCCGGUGAGCCGUUGAAACUGGCU